UAUAAGGUCUGGCAAUUGGAAUGAGAACAAUUUAAAUCCCUUAUCGAGGAUCAAUUGGAGGGCAAGUCUGGUGCCAGCAGCCGCGGUAAUUCCAGCUCCAAUAGCGUAUAUUAAAGUUGUUGCAGUUAAAAAGCUCGUAGUUGGAUUUCUGGUGGGAGGGAUACGUUCCACAUUCAAUGUGGUAACUAUAUCCUCUCCGGCCAUCCUUGGGUGGAUCCUUUCUGGCAUUAAGUUGUCAGUUAGGGGAUGCCCAUCGUUUACUGUGAAAAAAUUAGAGUGUUCAAAGCAGGCUUAUGCCGUUGAAUAUAUUAGCAUGGAAUAAUGAGAUAGGGCCUUGGAACUAUUUUGUUGGUUUGCGUACCGAGGUAAUGAUUAAUAGGGACAGUUGGGGGUAUUUGUAUUCAGUAUUCAGUGGUGAAAUACUUAGACCUACGGAAGACAAACUACUGCGAAAGCAUUUACCAAGGAUGUUUUCAUUAAUCAAGAGCGAAAGUAUGGGGAUCGAAGAUGAUCAGAUACCGUCGUAGUCUAUACCAUAAACUAUACCGACUGAGGAUGGGAUGGGCGUGUUUUUGCCCUAUUCUGCACUCUAUGAGAAAUCAAAGUCUUU
This 610-nucleotide ribosomal RNA is filed under the name uncultured diatom. RNAcentral's name for it is "SSU rRNA". It matches the Rfam family "Eukaryotic small subunit ribosomal RNA", at positions 494 to 1108 of the family's 1831-position model. Lineage: Eukaryota; Bacillariophyta. The record is from RNAcentral.